This 509-nucleotide long non-coding RNA is filed under the name Chinchilla lanigera (long-tailed chinchilla). Its description in RNAcentral is "lncRNA (ENSCLAG00000029239.1)". Lineage: Eukaryota; Metazoa; Chordata; Mammalia; Rodentia; Chinchillidae. The record is from RNAcentral.
CUGCAGUCAGGCGGGUGCAGACCCCAGGGGAAGAGGGCCUCCACGGAGGAGGUGGCACAGCGCCGCACGUGCUAGGUGUUGGGGGUGGUGACUGUGGGCGUGGGUGUUACUGAGCCUGAGUCUUUGUCAUCGUGAGCCACACCCCCCAGGGAGACUCGUUGGAUUUUGCCACCAGAGAGUUCUGGACUCCACCUUUCCUACUCAGGAUGCAACCAAAGAGCCGGAUUUGCUGGCUGCAGCCUGAGGUGGGGAAGGCCCAGAGCAGAUGGCCGGUCCCAGUUUUUACCGAUUUGAGGCACGGGAAGCCCGGCUCAGUGUUGAUAAAAGAAGCGGUGUUUCUAUGUCCGCAGCAGCAACUUGGUGAAAAUGAAAUCCACCCCGCAACCGUGCUGCUGGCUGGGCCCCUGCGGGAGGCCAGGGAGAACCCGGGCUGCUACUCUGCUUCCCCCUGGAUGAUUAUCUGGUAAACUCUUUUCCUGUGGUCUAGUGUUUGCCAACGUCCCCGGUGU